GACGAACGCUGGCGGCGUGCUUAAUACAUGCAAGUCGAACGGAAAGGCCCUGCUUUUGUGGGGUGCUCGAGUGGCGAACGGGUGAGUAACACGUGAGUAACCUGCCCUUGACUUUGGGAUAACUUCAGGAAACUGGGGCUAAUACCGGAUAGGAGCUCCUGCUGCAUGGUGGGGGUUGGAAAGUUUCGGCGGUUGGGGAUGGACUCGCGGCUUAUCAGCUUGUUGGUGGGGUAGUGGCUUACCAAGGCUUUGACGGGUAGCCGGCCUGAGAGGGUGACCGGCCACAUUGGGACUGAGAUACGGCCCAGACUCCUACGGGAGGCAGCAAUGGGGAAUAUUGCACAAUGGGCGGAAGCCUGAUGCAGCAACGCCGCGUGCGGGAUGACGGCCUUCGGGUUGUAAACCGCUUUCGCCUGUGACGAAGCGUGAGUGACGGUAAUGGGUAAAGAAGCACCGGCUAACUACGUG
RNAcentral lists this ribosomal RNA (468 nucleotides) under uncultured bacterium. RNAcentral's name for it is "partial 16S ribosomal RNA". It matches the Rfam family "Bacterial small subunit ribosomal RNA", at positions 28 to 507 of the family's 1533-position model. The record is from RNAcentral.